RNAcentral lists this unclassified non-coding RNA (449 nucleotides) under Hevea brasiliensis (rubber tree). The record is from RNAcentral. Lineage: Eukaryota; Viridiplantae; Streptophyta; Magnoliopsida; Malpighiales; Euphorbiaceae.
CACUCAUCAUUGCACAAUUUCUCCCCAAAAAUGGCAGCCUCCCGGCCAAUCAUCCUAAUCACCAACGACGACGGCAUCGACGCCGCCGGACUCCGCGCCCUCGUGCAUGCCCUCGUCUCCACCGACCGCUACCGCGUUUUCGUCUCCGCCCCCAAUUCGGACAAGUCUGGAGUGAGCCACUCCUUCACCUGGCGGCCGGCGCUCUGUUGCAAGCGUGUUGAGAUCGAAGGGGCCACGGCAUUUUCGGUCACAGGAACCCCUGCAGAUUGCGCUGACUUGGGCAUCUCCGGCAAACUUUUUGAUGGCGAAGUUCCUGAUCUGGUGAUCAGUGGCAUCAAUAUUGGUAGCAACUGCGGAUAUCAUAUUGUCUACUCAGGGACAGUUGCUGGUGCACGGGAGGCAUUCAUGUCGGGUGUACCUUCGUUAGCUUUAUCAUAUAAUUGGGUGGG